CCUACGGGAGGCAGCAGUGGGGAAUUUUCCGCAAUGGGCGAAAGCCUGACGGAGCAAUACCGCGUGAGGGAGGAAGGCUCUUGGGUUGUAAACCUCUUUUUUCAGGGAAGAUAAUGACGGUACCUGAGGAAUAAGCAUCGGCUAACUCCGUGCCAGCAGCCGCGGUAAUACGGAGGAUGCAAGCGUUAUCCGGAAUGAUUGGGCGUAAAGCGUCCGCAGGUGGUUUUAAAAGUCUGUUGUUAAAGCGUGAGGCUUAACCUCAUAAGGGCAAUGGAAACUGUAAGACUAGAGUACGUUCGGGGCAAGGGGAAUUCCCAGUGUAGCGGUGAAAUGCGUAGAGAUUGGGAAGAACACCGGUGGCGAAAGCGCCUUGCUAGGCCGUAACUGACACUGAGGGACGAAAGCUAGGGGAGCGAAUGGGAUUAGAUACCCCAGUAGUCCUAGCCGUAAACGAUGGAUACUAGGCGUUGUCUGUAUCGACCCGGACAGUGCCGUAGCUAACGCGUUAAGUAUCCGCCUGGGAGUACGCACGCAAGUGUGAACUUAAGGAAUUGACGG
RNAcentral lists this ribosomal RNA (558 nucleotides) under uncultured bacterium. RNAcentral describes it as "bacterial SSU rRNA". It matches the Rfam family "Bacterial small subunit ribosomal RNA", at positions 338 to 916 of the family's 1533-position model. The record is from RNAcentral.